RNA transcript from Phalaenopsis equestris, 973 nucleotides. It is a transcript of the gene named ferredoxin, with no coding region annotated. Lineage: Eukaryota; Viridiplantae; Streptophyta; Magnoliopsida; Asparagales; Orchidaceae. The record is from RefSeq and is a predicted model, not a curated record. The transcript has 3 exons.
UUCACUCUCAUUUCCUUAUCCACUUCUCCCCCAAAUCAACAGCCAUGGCUGCAAGCCUCACUCCCUUCCCCGUCUCCCCUCCCUUCAUUCCCAUCAACAUCAAACAAACCCCCACCUGCUUCUCAAACCCUAAUCCGCCUCCGGUGUCAACCCUAAGCGGAUUCCUUCGGCGGCCUCAUCAAUUUGCCAAGUGUUGCAGAGCAUACAAAGUCACACUCGAGCACGGGGAAGAGCAGCGGACAUUAGAAGUGAGUGGGGAUGAAACGAUACUAGGGCGAGCACUGGAAGAGGGAAUUGAAGUGCCCCAUGAUUGCAGGUUAGGGGUUUGCAUGACCUGCCCUGCUCGCCUUGUCAGCGGCACCGUUGAUCAGAGCGAGGGCAUGCUAAGUGAAGACGUCAUCGCGAGAGGAUAUGCUCUCCUCUGCGUCUCAUACCCACUCUCCGAUUGCGUCAUCCGUACUAUACCGGAAGAUGAGCUUCUUUCCCUUCAGCUUGCCACGGCGAAUGAUUGACUUGAUGUUUUCUAGGUGUUCCGUCAAAUGCUUCCGUGAGAUUCAGAGUGGUGGUUUCUGAAUGCGGACAGGAGAGGUUGACCAAUGCUAUUGCUAUGGAGGAGGCUUUCUAUAAAUAAAAUGUUGUUGGUCAUCACUUUGUUGAUGAUGAUAGAAAUACUUCUUAUGACCGUGCUUUUAUUAAAAAAAGAAGAAUGGGCAAUACUAUUAACAGGAUCAAACAAAAUAAUGGAAAUAUCUUUCUUUCUCUUGAUCUCAUUGAGGCAGAUGAUAUUGUUUUUUAUACAAAGCUGCUUAACAGUGACAGUAGGGUGCUGGCUGGAAUUGAUAUGGAUUUUUUUGCAGAUGAUGUUGAUGUUGCGGGUAGUAUUGAUCUUGUUGUCAUUCAUGAUAGUGAUGAGAUCAAGAAUGAUGUUAAUUCUUAUUGGUUGUUAAUAUUUCAUGUUUUAUUUCUCUUGUUA